This 782-nucleotide ribosomal RNA is filed under the name uncultured Bacteroidota bacterium. Its description in RNAcentral is "bacterial SSU rRNA". It matches the Rfam family "Bacterial small subunit ribosomal RNA", at positions 60 to 849 of the family's 1533-position model. The record is from RNAcentral. Lineage: Bacteria; Pseudomonadati; Bacteroidota.
AGUCGAGGGGUAUUGGUUUUCGGACCAGAGACCGGCGCACGGGUGCGUAACGCGUAUGCAAUCUACCUUUUACAGAGGGAUAGCCCAGAGAAAUUUGGAUUAAUACCUCAUAGUAUAGUACAGCCGCAUGGUUGAACUAUUAAAGUCACAACGGUAAAAGAUGAGCAUGCGUCCCAUUAGCUAGUUGGUAAGGUAACGGCUUACCAAGGCAACGAUGGGUAGGGGUCCUGAGAGGGAGAUCCCCCACACUGGUACUGAGACACGGACCAGACUCCUACGGGAGGCAGCAGUGAGGAAUAUUGGUCAAUGGGCGCAAGCCUGAACCAGCCAUGCCGCGUGCAGGAUGACGGUCCUAUGGAUUGUAAACUGCUUUUGCACAGGAAGAAACAACUCUACGUGUAGAGUCUUGACGGUACUGUGAGAAUAGGGAUCGGCUAACUCCGUGCCAGCAGCCGCGGUAAUACGGAGGAUCCAAGCGUUAUCCGGAAUCAUUGGGUUUAAAGGGUCCGUAGGCGGUUUAGUAAGUCAGUGGUGAAAGCCCAUCGCUCAACGGUGGAACGGCCAUUGAUACUGCUAAACUUGAAUUAUAAGGAAGUAACUAGAAUAUGUAGUGUAGCGGUGAAAUGCUUAGAUAUUACAUGGAAUACCAAUUGCGAAGGCAGGUUACUACUUAUGGAUUGACGCUGAUGGACGAAAGCGUGGGGAGCGAACAGGAUUAGAUACCCUGGUAGUCCACGCCGUAAACGAUGGAUACUAGCUGUUCGGAGCAAUCUGAGUGGCUA